RNAcentral lists this ribosomal RNA (498 nucleotides) under uncultured bacterium. RNAcentral's name for it is "partial 16S ribosomal RNA". It matches the Rfam family "Bacterial small subunit ribosomal RNA", at positions 28 to 523 of the family's 1533-position model. The record is from RNAcentral.
GAUGAACGCUAGCGGCAGGCCUAAUACAUGCAAGUCGGACGGGAUUGAGAAGCUUGCUUUUCAUGAGAGUGGCGCACGGGUGCGUAACACGUAUGUAACCUACCCAUAUCAGGGGGAUAGCCUCUCGAAAGAGAGAUUAAGACCGCAUAACAUUAUUGAAUGGCAUCAUUUAAUAAUCAAAUAUUUAUAGGAUAUGGAUGGGCAUGCGGAACAUUAGCUAGUUGGUAAGGUAACGGCUUACCAAGGCUACGAUGUUUAGGGGACCUGAGAGGAUGACCCCCCACACUGGUAAUGAGACAAGGACCAGACUCCUACGGGAGGCAGCAGUAAGGAAUAUUGGUCAAUGGACGGAAGUCUGAACCAGCCAUGCCGCGUGCAGGAAGACGGCCCUAUGGGUUGUAAACUGCUUUUGCAGGGGAAUAAACCUCGAUACGUGUAUCGAGCUGAAUGUGCUCUGAGAAUAAGGAUCGGCUAACUCCGUGCCAGCCGCCGCAGUAA